RNAcentral lists this ribosomal RNA (541 nucleotides) under Fusarium solani. RNAcentral describes it as "eukaryotic LSU rRNA". The stretch from base 155 to 308 matches the Rfam family "5.8S ribosomal RNA". Lineage: Eukaryota; Fungi; Ascomycota; Sordariomycetes; Hypocreales; Nectriaceae. The record is from RNAcentral.
GGGGCAACGGACGAAAGGAAUCAUCACCCUGUGACAUACCUAAACGUUGCUUCGGCGGGAACAGACGGCCCCGUGAAACGGGCCGCCCCCGCCAGAGGACCCCUAACUCUGUUUCUAUAAUGUUUCUUCUGAGUAAAACAAGCAAAUAAAUUAAAACUUUCAACAACGGAUCUCUUGGCUCUGGCAUCGAUGAAGAACGCAGCGAAAUGCGAUAAGUAAUGUGAAUUGCAGAAUUCAGUGAAUCAUCGAAUCUUUGAACGCACAUUGCGCCCGCCAGUAUUCUGGCGGGCAUGCCUGUUCGAGCGUCAUUACAACCCUCAGGCCCCCGGGCCUGGCGUUGGGGAUCGGCGGAGCCCCCCGUGGGCACACGCCGUCCCCCAAAUACAGUGGCGGUCCCGCCGCAGCUUCCAUCGCGUAGUAGCUAACACCUCGCGACUGGAGAGCGGCGCGGCCACGCCGUAAAACACCCAACUCUUCUGAAGUUGACCUCGAAUCAGGUAGGAAUACCCGCUGAACUUAAGCAUAUCAAUAAGCGGAGGAA